This 568-nucleotide long non-coding RNA is filed under the name Rattus norvegicus (Norway rat). RNAcentral describes it as "long non-coding RNA NONRATT030806". The record is from RNAcentral. Lineage: Eukaryota; Metazoa; Chordata; Mammalia; Rodentia; Muridae.
GUACAAAGCUUAAGUCCAAGUGGAUCAAGGACCUCCACAUCAAACCAGACACACUCAAACUAAUAGAAGAAAAACUAGGGAAGCAUCUGGAACACAUGGUCACUGGAAAAAAUUUCCUGAACAAAACACCAAUGGCUUAUGCUCUAAGAUCAAGAAUCGACAAAUGGGAUCUCAUAAAACUGCAAAGUUUCUGUAAGGCAAAGGACACUGUGGUUAGGACAAAACGGCAACCAACAGAUUGGGAAAAGAUCUUUACCAAUCCUACAACUGAUAGAGGGCUUAUAUCCAAAAUAUACAAAGAACUAAAAAGUUAGACUGCAGGGAGACAAAUAACCCUAUUAAAAAAUGGGGUUCAGAGCUAAACAAAGAAUUCACAGCUGAGGAAUGCCGAAUGGCUGAGAAACACCUAAAGAAAUGUUCAACAUCUUUAAUCAUAAGGUGAAUGCAAAUCAAAACAACCCUGAGAUUUCACCUCACACCAGUGAGAAUGGCUAAGAUCAAAAACUCAGGUGACAGCAAAUAGUGGCGAGGAUGUGGAGAAAGAGGAACACUCCUCCAUUGUUGGUGG